GAUGAACGCUGGCGGCGUGCUUAAUACAUGCAAGUCGAACGAAGGUUGUAGCAAUACAUCCUUAGUGGCGAACGGGUGAGUAACGCGUUGGUGACCUGCCCCGAAGUGCGGGAUAACAGUCCGAAAGGAUUGCUAAUACCGCAUGGUUUCAUUUGGAUUAGAUGCCAGAUGAGCAAAGGCGAAAGUCGCUUCGGGAGGGGCUUGCGUCCCAUCAGCUAGUUGGUAGGGUAAUGGCCUACCAAGGCAAUGACGGGUAGGGGACCUGAGAGGGUGGCCCCCCACAAUGGAACUGAAACACGGUCCAUACACCUACGGGUGGCAGCAGUAGGGAAUAUUGGUUAAUGUGCGAAAGCGCGAACCAGCAACGCCGCGUGCACGAUGAAGGCCUUCGGUUGUAAAGUGCUUUUGAGGGAUGAGGAAGGACAGUACCCUCAGAAUAAGUCUCGGCCAACUACGUG
This 458-nucleotide ribosomal RNA is filed under the name uncultured bacterium. RNAcentral's name for it is "bacterial SSU rRNA". It matches the Rfam family "Bacterial small subunit ribosomal RNA", at positions 28 to 507 of the family's 1533-position model. The record is from RNAcentral.